This 701-nucleotide long non-coding RNA is filed under the name Nicotiana benthamiana. RNAcentral's name for it is "long non-coding RNA (NBEN_LNC008248)". The record is from RNAcentral. Lineage: Eukaryota; Viridiplantae; Streptophyta; Magnoliopsida; Solanales; Solanaceae.
CUAGUAUCACACUUAUACUAAUCAUACAAGUCUGAAAAUAAUUCAUAAUAUUCAUAAUAGCUAUGAUAAGCUAAUACACACGAAUAUUCCAAUGCAAGUAGUCAUAAUGCUGAUAAGCUAAUUCAAGUCAUAAAAUUCCACUUCUAAACAGUCCUUAGUCAGUGACACGCUAAGAUAUGAUAGAGUUCUGAAACUAAUUACAAUUCAAUAAUGAAAUUCAACAUGAGAAGAACAAGUAGCACUUCAUUUCAUUCAAAAACCUGAGAGAUACAGGAUGUGUACCUGGAAUUGAAACAAAAUAGGGAGAAAGUAGUAUCAGCAGUAUAACAACACUCAAUUUAAGCAGGAAACCAGCAGUUCCAAGUUGAAAACCCAGGAAAUUAGAGUAGGAUACAGCAAAUCUCCCAAAUUGGCUUCAAUCAAACCAAAAUUCGGCAGACUUAAACCUAGAUUUGAUGAACCUAAAAUGACCUUCAACAUUAACUUCCUAUUGAUCUCAAAACUUAAAAGCAAGCUUCAGAUGUUUUGAAACUGGAUGAAACAGUGCAUUUUUUUUUUAAUUUCAGAAGUUUUUCAGGAGUUUUUGGAUUUCAGUAGGUUUUUUAAUUUGAAUUUUGAAAUUUCAGAGUUUUUUGAAUCUUUAGUGCUUCUAGAAACUAGUGGGAUUUUUUUAGAUUUUUAAAAACUUAAACAAGACAAUG